RNAcentral lists this ribosomal RNA (502 nucleotides) under uncultured bacterium. RNAcentral's name for it is "partial 16S ribosomal RNA". It matches the Rfam family "Bacterial small subunit ribosomal RNA", at positions 30 to 523 of the family's 1533-position model. The record is from RNAcentral.
AUUGAACGCUGGCGGCAUGCCUUACACAUGCAAGUCGAACGGCAGCACGGGAGCUUGCUCCUGGUGGCGAGUGGCGAACGGGUGAGUAAUACAUCGGAACGUACCCAGGAGUGGGGGAUAACGUAGCGAAAGUUACGCUAAUACCGCAUAUUCUGUGAGCAGGAAAGCGGGGGAUCGCAAGACCUCGCGCUCUUGGAGCGGCCGAUGUCGGAUUAGCUAGUUGGUGAGGUAAAAGCUCACCAAGGCGACGAUCCGUAGCAGGUCUGAGAGGAUGAUCUGCCACACUGGGACUGAGACACGGCCCAGACUCCUACGGGAGGCAGCAGUGGGGAAUUUUGGACAAUGGGGGCAACCCUGAUCCAGCCAUGCCGCGUGAGUGAAGAAGGCCUUCGGGUUGUAGAGCUCUUUCGGCGGGGAAGAAAUGGCAACGGCUAAUACCCGUUGUUGAUGACGGUACCCGCAUAAGAAGCACCGGCUAACUACGUGCCAGCAGCCGCCGUAA